UCGUUCUUGGUUAUAUUGCUCCACCUGUGCCUAGCCCCUGCGUCCAUUAUCAUCAUACAUUGUUUAGAAGUUUUAAGUCAAAACUGUCGUAUCUACCAGUAGGCUUUCCACUCUUGACUGUGGAUAAUUUUUCGGUUCAUUUUAUAUUAGGUACUUUAACUGGCAUAAAUUUGGUGUAUCGCUUAUCUAGUCUACCUACGAACUCCACCUAAAUAAGUCUUCCUAAGUUCCUACAAAUUUAAUCGCAGUUCUCCAAAAAAUUCAAAUUGGUAUCACAUUAUUCCCCAGAAUAAGCUGAAAAUAACGCAAAUUCAACGCUAGAAUUCAUGCUGAUUAAAUCAAGUUGUCUUAUCUGUUCUUCAAACUGAAUGUUUUUCUGCCAGCUUAUUAAAAAUGUCUGAUAAUUAGUAAAGUAGCAUCCGACUCUUUUCU
Non-coding RNA from Cinara cedri, 432 nucleotides. The record is from the annotation of a GenBank genome assembly. Lineage: Eukaryota; Metazoa; Arthropoda; Insecta; Hemiptera; Aphididae.